GACGAACGCUGGCGGCGUGCUUAACACAUGCAAGUCGAACGAAGAGCGACGGAAGCUUGCUUCUAUCAAUCUUAGUGGCGAACGGGUGAGUAACGCGUAAUCAACCUGCCCUUCAGAGGGGGACAACAGUUGGAAACGACUGCUAAUACCGCAUACGAUCUAAUCUCGGCAUCGAGGAUGGAUGAAAGGUGGCCUCUACAUGUAAGCUAUCACUGAAGGAGGGGAUUGCGUCUGAUUAGCUAGUUGGAGGGGUAACGGCCCACCAAGGCGAUGAUCAGUAGCCGGUCUGAGAGGAUGAACGGCCACAUUGGGACUGAGACACGGCCCAGACUCCUACGGGAGGCAGCAGUGGGGAAUCUUCCGCAAUGGACGAAAGUCUGACGGAGCAACGCCGCGUGAGUGAUGACGGCCUUCGGGUUGUAAAGCUCUGUUAAUCGGGACGAAAGGCCUUCUUGCGAAUAGUGAGAAGGAUUGACGGUACCGGAAUAGAAAGCCACGGCGAACUACGU
This 509-nucleotide ribosomal RNA is filed under the name uncultured bacterium. Its description in RNAcentral is "partial 16S ribosomal RNA". It matches the Rfam family "Bacterial small subunit ribosomal RNA", at positions 28 to 506 of the family's 1533-position model. The record is from RNAcentral.